GUAUGAUGAGCCUGAGAAUGUUUCCUCAGCAUUUACCGAGAGGAAAUGUACCUUCUCCGAAUGCACCUUUAAAGCGGGUAUUAGCCUAUACAGGCUGUUUUAGUCGAAUGCAGACCAUCAAGGAAAUUCACGAAUAUCUAUCUCAAAGGCUGCGCAUUAAAGAGGAAGAUAUGCGCCUGUGGCUAUACAACAGUGAGAACUACCUUACUCUUCUGGAUGAUGAGGAUCAUAAAUUGGA
This 238-nucleotide long non-coding RNA is filed under the name Homo sapiens (human). Its description in RNAcentral is "HSALNT0243570". Lineage: Eukaryota; Metazoa; Chordata; Mammalia; Primates; Hominidae. The record is from RNAcentral.